GACGUAGGGUCCAAGCGUUGUCCGGAUUUACUGGGCGUAAAGGGCUCGUAGGCGGCCAACUAAGUCGGAUGUGAAAUCCCCAGGCUCAACUUGGGAACUGCAUCCGAUACUGGAUGGCUUGAAUUCGGGAGAGGGAUGCAGAAUUCCAGGUGUAGCGGUGAAAUGCGUAGAUAUCUGGAGGAAUACCGGUGGCGAAGGCGGCAUCCUGGACCGACAUUGACGCUGAGGAGCGAAAGCUAGGGGAGCAAACAGG
RNAcentral lists this ribosomal RNA (253 nucleotides) under uncultured bacterium. RNAcentral describes it as "partial 16S ribosomal RNA". It matches the Rfam family "Bacterial small subunit ribosomal RNA", at positions 524 to 776 of the family's 1533-position model. The record is from RNAcentral.